CUCUUCCAUGAUUACUGAGAAAUCUACUUCUCUACAAAUAAAGUUUUUCUUCUUCUGUGAAACUCAUCAGUCUCUCCACCCAUUCCUUAUUUUUGAUAUCAAACCCAGACUCCAACAAUGGCAAACUCCCACCCUUCUCCUCUCUCACCUGAAAUCCAGUCGCUCUGCUCAGACAAGAAUUGAGCCAUUAAUGAGAGAAAAGAAUUGAGCUCAUGGGAAGUGUAUUCUCCUGGAUAAACAUCCUCAGCCUAUGUUUUCCAUUUCAGCGAACCUUCAAACCAUAAGCCUAAUACUCUUUUCAAUUUUUCUUUGUGGUUUGAAGAUUCUGAGUUUAACAAAUGAAAGGGAUAUGAUCAACUCAUUCUAUUUUCAUUCUACUAUAUCUGGUUGAUGGUUCAAGUUUUUAUUGGUUCACAAAUGGAAUAUAAGAAUAUGAAUUUGUUUUCAGAGAUUAGGAGAACAAUUGACAAUGACAUAUCAAGACAUGGUUUCUCUACAAUCGGGGGCGAGCCAACACUAUCUGUAGAAAGAAGGAGUUCAAGUCCUAAGCUGAAGAAUCUUUCAUUAUGUUUCAUAAUACGCAUAUAUAUAUAUAUAUAUAUAUUUUUUCUCUUUGAUCAUAUGUCAAUCAAGUAAAAAAGAAGGGCUCCCUGAUUUCUAGAACCAAAUCUUCCAAAAUUGAUACUAGUCUAAGAAUAGUUAACAGCAUCCGAGCUUCUUUGACGGAGCUUCCUGAAACGAAGCACAUGAGAUAUGAUGUGAUAGGUUUAGGCAUUCAAGAUGUGGUUUUCCUACCAGAAGACACAAGUGUAAGUCAUAUAUGCGAAAACAGUUUUGUAAGACCAUCUCCGACGUAGGAUUUAAACAAAUCCUUAGCAUCAAUCUUAAUAUUAUUUGAUUAUAAUAACAUUAUAAUUCAUGAACCUGCUAAGAAAGAAUCCUUGAGUAAGGAUUUUAAGGAUCAAGUCCUUGAAGAGGGGGCAACAUUCCUCUUCCUUGAUUCCACUCUCUUGCCUUGUCUUUCUUCUUCUUUCUUCUGAUCUCGAACUUUCGGAACGGUGAGCUGAGGAUGUACAGAUUCAACCCGAUCUUAUCCGGAUCCGACCAGAUUCAACCCGACAAGAAAUCUCUAUCUGUCUCUGUUUCGUUCAACGAAAUUGGACCUGGGCUUUUCCUUACUCUGUAUCGAUUUUCCUUACCGGUAGCGAGUUCGAGGAAGUGUCUGAAGGAAGCGAUUUUCCUAUCGCCGCAUCUCAGGGAGAGCAAUGGAGGAUCCGAUUCUAUCUCCAUACGAUCUAUCUCUCGGAUUAGCGAGUGGCGACUCCGUGGUUAGCGAGUCCUCAUCUUCAGACUUGUUUUCUUAAUUUCAACGGAUUGCCUCCUGUUUUCACCUACACAAGGCAGCUCUUUCGCGCUUCUGAUGGUGGAACAAUUGCAUUGGACUGGCUCACCAACUCUCAUGUUCUUGAUGGGGACCUUCACAAUCAGAAAGAGAUCACAAAACAAGACACAACUCCUAUAGCUGUCGUGGUUCCCGGGUUAACUAGUGAUUCUUCUUCUGCCUCAGAUCGCUUCUACAAUGCUGGAUGGACAGAUAAACUUUGCUCUGUCCGCAUCUGAGCUUGGGAAUACUGGGUGAGACUAGGUUCGGCCGUGCACUGCACAUGAUCAAUGCAGAGGCCCUACGGCUAAGACAUUUGUGCUUGACACUGAUACAAACACCUGGACUGACUUCGUUCCCUUACCAGUUCCUAGUUUGAAUGCAGGGAAUUUAGAGAAUCAAUUCUUGGUGUUAUGCAGGCUCGCUACUGACAUGUGGAUGCACCCGAUACUUCCGAGAUGAGUUUCAAAGUUCAAUUGUUUUCAUGUUUAACACAGUUUCAUAUUAUUUUUAACUCAAUGCAAUUGACAAUAUUGUUUCACUUCUAAACAUAUGCAUUUCACAUUAUAAUUUUUUUCCUCUAA
Long non-coding RNA from Raphanus sativus (radish), 1965 nucleotides. RefSeq lists it as uncharacterized. The transcript has 5 exons. Lineage: Eukaryota; Viridiplantae; Streptophyta; Magnoliopsida; Brassicales; Brassicaceae. The record is from RefSeq and is a predicted model, not a curated record.